CAGCCGCCACGGUAAUACGUAGGUGGCAAGCGUUGUCCGGAAUUAUUGGGCGUAAAGGGCUCGCAGGCGGUUUCUUAAGUCUGAUGUGAAAGCCCCCGGCUCAACCGGGGAGGGUCAUUGGAAACUGGGAAACUUGAGUGCAGAAGAGGAGAGUGGAAUUCCACGUGUAGCGGUGAAAUGCGUAGAGAUGUGGAGGAACACCAGUGGCGAAGGCGACUCUCUGGUCUGUAACUGACGCUGAGGAGCGAAAGCGUGGGGAGCGAGCAGGAUUAGAUACCCCUGUAGUCCCUGUCUCUUAUAC
RNAcentral lists this ribosomal RNA (301 nucleotides) under uncultured bacterium. RNAcentral describes it as "partial 16S ribosomal RNA". It matches the Rfam family "Bacterial small subunit ribosomal RNA", at positions 509 to 807 of the family's 1533-position model. The record is from RNAcentral.